Molecule: ribosomal RNA, 305 nt
Filed under: uncultured bacterium
Lineage: Bacteria
Description: bacterial SSU rRNA
Rfam family: Bacterial small subunit ribosomal RNA
Source: RNAcentral
ACCUACGGGGCGCAGCAGUGAGGAAUAUUGGUCAAUGGGCUUACGCCUGAACCAGCCAAGUCGCGUGAGGGAAGACUGCCCUAUGGGUUGUAAGCCUCUUUUGUCAGGGAGCAAUAGGCGCUACGUGUAGCGUUAUCGAGAGUACCUGAAGAAAAAGCAUCGGCUAACUCCGUGCCAGCAGCCGCGGUAAUACGGAGGAUGCGAGCGUUAUCCGGAUUUAUUGGGUUUAAAGGGUGCGUAGGCGGAAUGCCAAGUCAGCGGUAAAAUCGCGGGGCUCAACCUCGCUCCGCCGUUGAAACUGGCGU